CGCCCCUUCCCAGACUCGAAAGUCCACUUGUGUCCAAUGCUCCAGGCUCGCCCAGGCUCCGCCUGGAGUCUGACCACCGCUCCACCCUGAUCGCCGUCAGAAACGCGUGAGCGCCGAGAGGACCACGACCCAGCUUGCUGGAAAGGAAACUUGGGGACAUCUGUGAAGAGAGGAAUAGGAAGUCCAAGGAGGAGCACGAAAGGAGGUAGAAGUUAUUGGCACUGUUCUCGGAGAGUUUCGAAAAGCCUCCAACUCUGAAGUGGAAAGAGAGGUGGGCUGUUCAGGAAAGCAAAGCACACCCGAGGAGCCAGACUUUGGAUGAAGAACUGCAACUGUGAGUGGGCGUGACGUUCUGCUGGGCUGGCUUCCUCCCAUUCAAGAGAACUUGGUGGCACCCUGCAAUCUCAGUGGAAAGUUUACAUUCCUCUGGAAAAUAAACUGUGGAAAGGGAAAGAAUUUGGGGAGCACUGUGACAGCAGGCCAAGGUUCAAAGCUUUGUUAAUAACCAUACCUCAUGGUUAUUCUUUUCAAACAUUGUUUCAUCUAUAAACUUAGUUUUCUGUGCAAACUCUAUAAUAAAUGGGACCAGCACUUUU
Molecule: RNA transcript, 596 nt
Organism: Sus scrofa (pig)
Lineage: Eukaryota; Metazoa; Chordata; Mammalia; Artiodactyla; Suidae
Gene name: mitochondrial sheath formation-associated protein
Source: RefSeq, a predicted model, not a curated record